RNAcentral lists this ribosomal RNA (626 nucleotides) under uncultured bacterium. RNAcentral's name for it is "bacterial SSU rRNA". It matches the Rfam family "Bacterial small subunit ribosomal RNA", at positions 56 to 719 of the family's 1533-position model. The record is from RNAcentral.
UGCAGUCGAACGGGAUCCGAGCUUCGGUUCGGUGAGAGUGGCGAACGGGUGAGUAACGCGUGGGAACCUGCCCAGAGGUACGGAAUAACAGUUGGAAACGACUGCUAAUACCGUAUGAGCCCGAGAGGGGAAAGAUUUAUCGCCUUUGGAGGGGCCCGCGUCAGAUUAGGUAGUUGGUGGGGUAACGGCCUACCAAGCCGACGAUCUGUAGCUGGUCUGAGAGGAUGAUCAGCCACACUGGGACUGAGAUACGGCCCAAACUCCUACGGGAGGCAGCAGUGGGGAAUAUUGGACAAUGGGGGCAACCCUGAUCCAGCAAUGCCGCGUGAGUGAUGAAGGCCUUCGGGUUGUAAAGCUCUUUUGCCAGGGACGAUGAUGACGGUACCUGGAGAAUAAGCCCCGGCUAACUUCGUGCCAGCAGCCGCGGUAAUACGAAGGGGGCUAGCGUUGUUCGGAAUUACUGGGCGUAAAGGGCGCGUAGGCGGUCUGAUAAGUUAGGUGUGAAAUUCCCGGGCUUAACCUGGGGGCUGCAUUUAAUACUGUCAGGCUUGAAUCCGGGAGAGGAUAGCGGAAUUCCCAGUGUAGAGGUGAAAUUCGUAGAUAUUGGGAAGAACACCAGUGGCGAA